GAUGAACGCUGGCGGCGUGCCUAAUACAUGCAAGUCGAGCGAACGGACGAGAAGCUUGCUUCUCUGAUGUUAGCGGCGGACGGGUGAGUAACACGUGGAUAACCUACCUAUAAGACUGGGAUAACUUCGGGAAACCGGAGCUAAUACCGGAUAAUAUUUUGAACCGCAUGGUUCAAAAGUAAAAGACGGUCUUGCUGUCACUUAUAGAUGGAUCCGCGCUGCAUUAGCUAGUUGGUAAGGUAACGGCUUACCAAGGCAACGAUGCAUAGCCGACCUGAGAGGGUGAUCGGCCACACUGGAACUGAGACACGGUCCAGACUCCUACGGGAGGGAGCAGUAGGGAAUCUUCCGCAAUGGGCGAAAGCCUGACGGAGCAACGCCGCGUGAGUGAUGAAGGUCUUCGGAUCGUAAAACUCUGUUAUUAGGGAAGAACAUAUGUGUAAGUAACUAUGCACAUCUUGACGGUACCUAAUCAGAAAGCCACGGCUAACUACGUG
RNAcentral lists this ribosomal RNA (497 nucleotides) under uncultured bacterium. Its description in RNAcentral is "partial 16S ribosomal RNA". It matches the Rfam family "Bacterial small subunit ribosomal RNA", at positions 28 to 507 of the family's 1533-position model. The record is from RNAcentral.